Molecule: ribosomal RNA, 253 nt
Filed under: uncultured bacterium
Lineage: Bacteria
Description: partial 16S ribosomal RNA
Rfam family: Bacterial small subunit ribosomal RNA
Source: RNAcentral
UACGUAGGGUGCAAGCGUUAAUCGGAAUUACUGGGCGUAAAGCGUGCGCAGGCGGUUUCGUAAGUCUGACGUGAAAGCCCCGGGCUCAACCUGGGAAUUGCGUUGGAGACUGCAAGGCUUGAAUCUGGCAGAGGGGGGUAGAAUUCCACGUGUAGCAGUGAAAUGCGUAGAGAUGUGGAGGAACACCGAUGGCGAAGGCAGCCCCCUGGGUCAAGAUUGACGCUCUUGCACGAAAGCGUGGGGAGCAAACAGG